CUCGUAGGCUGUUUGGUAAGUCAGAUGUGAAAUCCCUCGGCUCAACCGGGGAACUGCAUUUGAUACUGCCAGACUUGAGUGUCGGAGAGGGUGGCGGAAUUCCAGGUGUAGGAGUGAAAUCCGUAGAUAUCUGGAGGAACACCAGUGGCGAAGGCGGCCACCUGGACGACAACUGACGCUGAGGAGCGAAAGCGUGGGGAGCAAACA
Molecule: ribosomal RNA, 207 nt
Filed under: uncultured delta proteobacterium
Lineage: Bacteria; Deltaproteobacteria
Description: partial 16S ribosomal RNA
Rfam family: Bacterial small subunit ribosomal RNA
Source: RNAcentral